GGCUCGGUCGCAAUACACAGGCUUCAGGGAAGACCGGAGUUUGCCAUCUCCGUACCACCACCACCACCACACACAGCACCCUCAAGACUCCCUGUGAUCCUGGGAUGCACUCAACGAAGAGUGUGUGGCCCAGGAUUUGAUGGAAAUGCUACAAGAGAAGCAGGCUCUCCCCUUCUGAAAUGAUGAGUGAUAAUGACCAUACAGGUCAACUUUUCCACCACUUGGAGGGAGCCUGUCAAAGAACAAAGGCAACAGAGAAGAGAGCAGAGCUGAGGUUGGGUGAGAGGGAGAAAUUCCUGAGUGCUUGAAUCCCACAUGCCGGAAGCCGCACCACACUUGGACUUCUCAAUACAGGAGCCACUGAGAAACCAAGUCAUGCUGAAGACCUGGAAAUCCCAGCAGGCUGCAAACCAGCUGCAACUACAAUGGGUCAGCCCUUUUGAGAUGCUGCUGACUACCCACUUAUCUGCCAAGUUAGCCAGUGUUAAGCCAUGGAUUCACCACGCUCAGAUAAAACCUGCCCCUCUGGGAUCCCUCCAGAAAAAAACAGGCAUGCUGUUGUGAACCCUAAGAUGGCCUUAAGUUAAUAUUCAAUGCCCAGCCAAAGACCCUAAAUAAGAAGUCAUAAAGGAAACAUGUGCUUUUCAGGUACCAAUCACCCUCCAGAUCUAAGAAUGGCUUCAGGCUGGGGCUGCAGUCACCUCUUUGCCCAGCUUCUCCCCUGCCCUAUUCUGCUUCACUUGCAUCCUUAAAGGUUCCACCCAAGAGCUCUUCUACAAGAAAGCACCUAUAAAGCCAGACACAUUGGCUUAUGCCUAUAAUCCUAGCACUUUGGGAGGCCAAGGUAGGAGGAUGGCUUGAGGCCAGGAGUUCAAGACCAGCCUGGGCAACUUAGUGAGGCCCCGUCUCUAUAAAAAAUAAAAAAAUUAACCAGGUGUGGUGGUGCACGUCUCUAGUCUCAGCUACUCAGGAGGCUGUGGCAGGAAGAUGGCUUGAGCCCAGGAGGUUGAGGCUGCAGUGAACUAAGAUCAUGCCACUGCACCCAUCUUGGGCAACAGAAUGAGAUCCUGUCUCUAAAAAAAUAAAAACAAUUUACAACAGUAAGCACCUGUACACAAGCCCCAUCUCCAGUCC
This is a long non-coding RNA of Homo sapiens (human), 1134 nucleotides long. Ensembl annotates it as SOCS2 antisense RNA 1. Its record names the gene SOCS2-AS1. The record is from Ensembl. Lineage: Eukaryota; Metazoa; Chordata; Mammalia; Primates; Hominidae.